AUGUCUNAGUNUAANNNNAUUAUACNNCGAAACUGCGAAUGGCUCAUUAUAUAAGUUAUCGUUUAUUUGAUAGUACCUUACUACUUGGAUAACCGUGGUAAUUCUAGAGCUAAUACAUGCUAAAAAUCCCGACUUCGGAAGGGAUGUAUUUAUUAGAUUAAAAACCAAUGCCCUUCGGGGCUCACUGGUGAUUCAUGAUAACUCCUCGAAUCGCAUGGCCUUGUGCCGGCGAUGGUUCAUUCAAAUUUCUUCCCUAUCAACUUUCGAUGUUUGGGUAUUGGCCAAACAUGGUUGCAACGGGUAACGGAGGGUUAGGGCUCGACCCCGGAGAAGGAGCCUGAGAAACGGCUACUACAUCCAAGGAAGGCAGCAGGCGCGCAAAUUACCCAAUCCCGACACGGGGAGGUAGUGACAAUAAAUACUGAUACAGGGCUCUUUUGGGUCUUGUAAUUGGAAUGAGUACAAUUUAAAUCCCUUAACGAGGAACAAUUGGAGGGCAAGUCUGGUGCCAGCAGCCGCGGUAAUUCCAGCUCCAAUAGCGUAUAUUAAAGUUGUUGUGGUUAAAAAGCUCGUAGUUGAACCUUGGGCCUGGCUGGCCGGUCCGCCUCACCGCGUGUACUGGUCCGGCCGGGCCUUUCCCUCUGUGGAACCCCAUGCCCUUCACUGGGUGUGGCGGGGAAACAGGACUUUUACUGUGAAAAAAUUAGAGUGCUCCAGGCAGGCCUAUGCUCGAAUACAUUAGCAUGGAAUAAUAGAAUAGGACGUGUGGUUCUAUUUUGUUGGUUUCUAGGACCGCCGUAAUGAUUAAUAGGGACAGUCGGGGGCAUCAGUAUUCAAUUGUCAGAGGUGAAAUUCUUGGAUUUAUUGAAGACUAACUACUGCGAAAGCAUUUGCCAAGGAUGUUUUCAUUAAUCAGGAACGAAAGUUAGGGGAUCGAAGACGAUCAGAUACCGUCGUAGUCUUAACCAUAAACUAUGCCGACUAGGGAUCGGACGGUGUUAUUUUUUNACCCGUUCGGCACCUUACGAGAAAUCAAAGUGCNUNGGNNNNAGGGG
RNAcentral lists this ribosomal RNA (1055 nucleotides) under Fusarium verticillioides. RNAcentral describes it as "SSU rRNA". It matches the Rfam family "Eukaryotic small subunit ribosomal RNA", at positions 55 to 1120 of the family's 1831-position model. The record is from RNAcentral. Lineage: Eukaryota; Fungi; Ascomycota; Sordariomycetes; Hypocreales; Nectriaceae.